This is a long non-coding RNA of Perognathus longimembris pacificus (Pacific pocket mouse), 184 nucleotides long. RefSeq lists it as uncharacterized. The transcript is spliced from 3 exons. The record is from RefSeq and is a predicted model, not a curated record. Lineage: Eukaryota; Metazoa; Chordata; Mammalia; Rodentia; Heteromyidae.
UAGCUGGUGUAACAGGUGUGAUCCACCAUACUCAGCUGAUGUUUUAAAAUAUAACUUAUAAAUUAUGCUUGAGAUUUUUUUUUUUUUUUGGCCAGUCCUGGGGCUUGGACUCAGGGCCUGAGCACUGUCCCUGGCUUCCUUUUGCUCAAGGCUAGCACUCUGCCACUUGAGCCACAGCGCCACU